This 822-nucleotide ribosomal RNA is filed under the name Mycobacterium sp. RNAcentral describes it as "partial 16S ribosomal RNA". It matches the Rfam family "Bacterial small subunit ribosomal RNA", at positions 107 to 928 of the family's 1533-position model. Lineage: Bacteria; Bacillati; Actinomycetota; Actinomycetes; Mycobacteriales; Mycobacteriaceae. The record is from RNAcentral.
UGAGUAACACGUGGGUGAUCUGCCCUGCANUUCGGGAUAAGCCUGGGAAACUGGGUCUAAUACCGGAUAGGACCACNGGAUGCAUGUCCUGNGGUGGAAAGCUUNUGCGNUGUGGGAUGGGCNCNCGGCCUAUCAGCUUGUUGGUGGGGUGACGGCCUACCAAGGCGACGACNGGUAGCCNGCCUGAGAGGGUGUCCGNCCACACUGGGACUGAGAUACGGCCCAGACUCCUACGGGAGGCAGCAGUGGGGAAUANUGCACAAUGGGCGCAAGCCUGAUGCAGCGACGCCNCGUGGGGGAUGACGGCCUUCGGGUUGUAAACCUCUUUCACCAUCNANNAANGUCCGGGUUUUCUCGGAUUGACGGUAGGUGGAGAAGAAGCACCGGCCAACUACGUGCCAGCAGCCGCGGUAAUACGUAGGGUGCGAGCGUUGUCCGGAAUUACUGGGCGUAAAGAGCUCGUAGGUGGUUUGUCGCGUUGUUCGUGAAAUCUCACGGCUUAACUGUGAGCGUGCGGGCGAUACGGGCAGACUGGAGUACUGCAGGGGAGACUGGAAUUCCUGGUGUAGCGGUGGAAUGCGCAGAUAUCAGGAGGAACACCGGUGGCGAAGGCGGGUCUCUGGGCAGUAACUGACGCUGAGGAGCGAAAGCGUGGGGAGCGAACAGGAUUAGAUACCCCUGGUAGUCCACGCCGUAAACGGUGGGUACUAGGUGUGGGUUUCCUUCCUUGGGAUCCGUGCCGUAGCUAACGCAUUAAGUACCCCGCCUGGGGAGUACGGCCGCAAGGCUAAAACUCAAAGGAAUUGNCGGGGGCCCGCACAA